This is a long non-coding RNA of Saccostrea cuccullata (small rock oyster), 356 nucleotides long. RefSeq lists it as uncharacterized. The record is from RefSeq and is a predicted model, not a curated record. NCBI's taxonomy places the organism in Eukaryota, Metazoa, Mollusca, Bivalvia, Ostreida, Ostreidae. The transcript has 3 exons.
ACGUAGGAAAGUGUUACAAUGGAGAGAGUUUUUACUUUUGGUUUAUGGGUAGAAGAAGGUUGGAAGACAAUCAGAAAUACAAAAUAAAUCAAAACUUAGACGGAGACGAUUUGGUGACAACCCUGACAAUCAAUAAUGUCACGAAAGAGGAUAUGACGUCAUAUAAUUGCCUGCUGGUUGACGAUAAAUUUGAAGGUGGCAACCGGAAUAUGACUGUAUUUCUCACGAAGAGAGAAAAUGCGAGUGGUGCUAUUGGGAAAGAUACCAGCCUGUUGACGUUUUAUUUAGGACUGUUAUUUUAUCUUUUUCUUUUGAAAUAAAGAUCAUUUCCAUUCUCGGAAAUGAAAAGAUUUUUU